GUGCUCGCUUCGGCAGCACAUAUACUAAAAAUUGGAACGAUACAGAGAAGAUUAGCAGGGCCCCUGCGCAAAAGGAAAAUAUGCUUCAUGUAACUAAAGAAAGGAUGUAA
Molecule: small nuclear RNA, 110 nt
Organism: Chionomys nivalis (European snow vole)
Lineage: Eukaryota; Metazoa; Chordata; Mammalia; Rodentia; Cricetidae
Source: RefSeq, a predicted model, not a curated record